Molecule: ribosomal RNA, 468 nt
Filed under: uncultured bacterium
Lineage: Bacteria
Description: partial 16S ribosomal RNA
Rfam family: Bacterial small subunit ribosomal RNA
Source: RNAcentral
GACGAACGCUGGCGGCGUGCUUAACACAUGCAAGUCGAACGGAAAGGCCCUGCUUUUGUGGGGUGCUCGAGUGGCGAACGGGUGAGUAUCACGUGAGUAACCUACCCUUGACUUUGGGAUAACUUCAGGAAACUGGGGCUAAUACCGGAUAGGAGCUCCUGCUGCAUGGUGGGGGUUGGAAAGUUUCGGCGGUUGGGGAUGGACUCGCGGCUUAUCAGCUUGUUGGUGGGGUAGUGGCUUACCAAGGCUUUGACGGGUAGCCGGCCUGAGAGGGUGACCGGCCACAUUGGGACUGAGAUACGGCCCAGACUCCUACGGGAGGCAGCAGUGGGGAAUAUUGCACAAUGGGCGGAAGCCUGAUGCAGCAACGCCGCGUGCGGGAUGACGGCCUUCGGGUUGUAAACCGCUUUCGCCUGUGACGAAGCGUGAGUGACGGUAAUGGGUAAAGAAGCACCGGCUAACUACGUG